Molecule: long non-coding RNA, 945 nt
Organism: Hylaeus volcanicus
Lineage: Eukaryota; Metazoa; Arthropoda; Insecta; Hymenoptera; Colletidae
Exons: 3
Source: RefSeq, a predicted model, not a curated record
UUUUUUACCACAAUAAUGUUUUUGCAUUAGCGAAAAAAAAAGAAAAGAUUCUUACCGAAAAGGUUUUUGUGUUGCAUUACGUUUUUCUUUGGUUACAACAAGUUGUUGAUAGUCAUAUUGCAAAGAAUUAUUAAAGGUAGUUUCACUGGCACUCAAAUCAAUCGACGUCUCCACAACGUUUUUAUUCUACAAAUCCUUUUCCAUGUUUUCUUUUUUAAAAAAAAAGACACACUUGUUUUGCCGUUGUUUUCACUCGGUUUAACUCUUUUAUUUUUGAAAAAUUCGGUUUUUGUGUCAAAGGUUUUAACCAACGCGACGCAACAAAAGACUUGUUUUGUCGAAAUACCUUUUGAAUCAUAAAGUUCAUCGCAGCCUUUGCUUCUUCCAAUACAGGGCAAAAUCUCAAGGUCAUCGAAACCGCUAGGUGUUAAGAGUCUAACAAAAGUAGCUUUCUCUUAAAACACGAUUUGUUUCAAGUUCUUUGUAUUUCUAAAGACCAAUAAAUUAGAAGUGAUUCUCGUUACAAGAAGCACAACAAAGUUGUAAUUAUUACCGAAGACAAUUGUAAAAAAUGAUCAAAAAAAUAAGCAACAAUUCCUUUAUAAUAAUCUUGUUCUGUUUCUGACGUAUUAGAAUACUAUAGAUCAACCCAUUUUUUAUUGUAAAUGAAAUGAUAAUAUUACGUUUGUUUAUACCUGAGAAUUCUUUCUGCGUGGAUUCUUGUUCAAACUUUUUAAUGUUAUUAUGAACUUGUUGAAUUUGUAGUCUAAAUAGUUUUAUAUCAGUUAUUCAUUGUUUCGUUAAGAUUUACCCUAAAGAAGCAGCUAAAAUGGACACCUUUGUUUUUGUCUGUCGUUUUCCUGAAAAAUUUACAAGACAGUCAAAAGGUCUUUUCAAUGUAUCAAAACUGUUUAAUUGAUUAUCAUAAACAAGUAAUUUUGUCUU